This 253-nucleotide ribosomal RNA is filed under the name uncultured bacterium. RNAcentral's name for it is "partial 16S ribosomal RNA". It matches the Rfam family "Bacterial small subunit ribosomal RNA", at positions 524 to 776 of the family's 1533-position model. The record is from RNAcentral.
UACAGAGGAGCCAAGCGUUGUCCGGAAUUACUGGGCGUAAAGAGCUCGUAGGCGGUCUGUCGCGUCUGCUGUGAAAACUCAGGGCUUAACCCUGAGCUUGCAGUGGGUACGGGCAGACUAGAGUGCGGUAGGGGAGACUGGAAUUCCUGGUGUAGCGGUGAAAUGCGCAGAUAUCAGGAGGAACACCGGUGGCGAAGGCGGGUCUCUGGGCCGUAACUGACGCUGAGGAGCGAAAGCAUGGGGAGCGAACAGG